This 543-nucleotide ribosomal RNA is filed under the name Triticum aestivum (bread wheat). RNAcentral describes it as "partial small subunit ribosomal RNA". The record is from RNAcentral. Lineage: Eukaryota; Viridiplantae; Streptophyta; Magnoliopsida; Poales; Poaceae.
AUGGGAUGGGCUGGAUUGGCGCACAGAACAAGCCAGCAGCCCUCUCUCUCGAACAGUUUUGCCUCUGCUCCUUCCUCCUUCACGCCCACCACUAUCCCACUCGAACCCUCAACGCCGCCGCCAGUCGCGCCGCCACGCCCGCUACCCCCGGUCGUCGGCCGGAUCCCCUCCUCCGCCUACAGAUCCGGAGAUCCCGGCCUCGUUGCCGCAGGAUCCCGUGCUCAGCGGCGCUCGUCCCGCCACCAGCUUGGAGCAGCGACCACAUGGAAAUGGCGACCUCGCCCGGACGCCGUUGAUGCCCGAGACAACCGCCGGAGCCAGGAGCAGCAGUCCGAAGGCCGAGAGCCCUCGCCCAAACCACAAGUGUCAAGCAUGACUGCUGAAUGGAGCGUUGAGAACACUAAGAUUGUAUGUGAGUUGUUCGCCGACCAAGUGGACGCUGGAAAUAGGCCAGGCAAUUAUUUGACCCCAAAUGCAUUUGAUGAGGUGACAAGACAAUUUAAGAUGAGAACCGGGCUUGAUUACACACACACACGCAAUUGA